This 429-nucleotide ribosomal RNA is filed under the name Chloroflexota bacterium. RNAcentral describes it as "Chloroflexi bacterium partial 16S ribosomal RNA". It matches the Rfam family "Bacterial small subunit ribosomal RNA", at positions 355 to 776 of the family's 1533-position model. The record is from RNAcentral. Lineage: Bacteria; Bacillati; Chloroflexota.
UGGGGAAUAUUGCACAAUGGGCGCAAGCCUGAUGCAGCCAUGCCGCGUGUAUGAAGAAGGCCUUCGGGUUGUAAAGUACUUUCAGCGGGGAGGAAGGGAGUAAAGUUAAUACCUUUGCUCAUUGACGUUACCCGCAGAAGAAGCACCGGCUAACUCCGUGCCAGCAGCCGCGGUAAUACGGAGGGUGCAAGCGUUAAUCGGAAUUACUGGGCGUAAAGCGCACGCAGGCGGUUUGUUAAGUCAGAUGUGAAAUCCCCGGGCUCAACCUGGGGACUGCAUCUGAUACUGGCAAGCUUGAGUCUCGUAGAGGGGGGUAGAAUUCCAGGUGUAGCGGUGAAAUGCGUAGAGAUCUGGAGGAAUACCGGUGGCGAAGGCGGCCCCCUGGACGAAGACUGACGCUCAGGUGCGAAAGCGUGGGGAGCAAACAGG